GCAGGGACUGGGCUGGAGUGCAGGGGGAGGAAAAGCCAGGUCCUACCCCUGCCUGGCCCCUGCUUCUGGGGGGACGUGCUGCCCUGGGAGGCAGGGGGACACCCAGAGCCGCUGUUCAUGGAUACAUUCACGGGGGUCAGGUACCUUGCAUAAGGCACCAUCCCAGGACUCACCCUGAAAUGAGCAGAAGCGGGCUUAUGGGGAGUGUGGGGCGAGUCCACCUGCGGAACUCCUCGCCGGAGGAUGUGGUGAAGGUCAGGACUUUAACAGAGUUCAACAAAGAGCUAGAUACAUUCACGGAGAUCAGGACACGACCCUCUCAAACUGAUCUCUGAUCUCCCGGGAUGGAUCUCCAUGCACGGCACCCGGCGCCCCUUUGAGGAAACCGCGUUGAGAAAAGCGAUUCCCGUUCGAGGCUGGAACGGCAGAUCGGUGUGCACCAAGAGCGGAGGGCCCCGGGGUCCCCGACCUCCCGUGCUCCCCGGGCCGGAUCCGGAUCCUGGCUCCCGGAUCUCCAGGGCGUGGAGGGAAGGGAGACCCUUCGAACCAUGGACGCAGGUGAGGCGCGGGCGACCGGGAUGCAGAAGGGUUCGGUCCUGGGUGUGGGGAGUCGGGGGGGUCCCCCAAAAGGUUCCAUGUGCCCCCCAGAAUUGGACCUCGGCUUGCACAUGUCUUCCGCCACCCUGCCCUCUCAGCUUCCCCCGGAUAUCCACCCGGUGCUCGCCUACUAUUCAGCGUUCGGACGGGCGGUGGGGGCGGAACCGGGCCAAGCCCCGCCCCUUCCAGAGCCAAGCCCCGCCCCUUCAGGAGCCAAGCCCCGCCUCCCCCUGUCCUGUUUUCAUGGGUGGUUGAAUGAACCUAGCAGUGAAAAAGGGGACUCUCUAGCCCCGCCUCUUCCACAUGAUGCCCCGCCCCCUUCCAGAGCAAAGCCGCGCCCCUUCCAGAGUCAAGCCCCGCCUUCCCCUGUCCUGUUUUCAUGGGUGGUGGGUGAACCUAGCGCUGGGGGAGUGGACUCCCUAGCCCCGCCUCUUCCAGAGCUAGGCCCCGCCCCUUCUAGAGCUAAGCCCCACCCCCUUCAAGAGCCAAGCCCAUCCCCCCAGGGAAGGUCCCUAACCUAUCACCCCGAAGGAUGGGGAAGGCGGGCAGAACGUGGAGCGGGGGGCGGAGGAUGGGCGGAGCCACGCUUAGCAAAUUAGGAAGGCAGCACCUUCCCCUGCCUCUUAUACCCGCUGUCCCUGCCCGAUCCCCCUUUCCGAGGCCAGGCCCACACGGUGGGGGAAGACCGGCUUCAGCUGUGUCGAAAAACGUGGCUGGAGUCGAUGUACCUCGAGCCCCACUUCGGCACCG
Non-coding RNA from Pelodiscus sinensis (Chinese soft-shelled turtle), 1347 nucleotides. The record is from RefSeq and is a predicted model, not a curated record. Lineage: Eukaryota; Metazoa; Chordata; Testudines; Trionychidae.